This is a non-coding RNA of Zootoca vivipara (common lizard), 17577 nucleotides long. The record is from RefSeq and is a predicted model, not a curated record. NCBI's taxonomy places the organism in Eukaryota, Metazoa, Chordata, Lepidosauria, Squamata, Lacertidae.
ACUGGGCAAAGCAGCAUCAAAAGUCACUUCUGAGCAUGCUCCGCCCAGUUCCAAAAUGGCGGCAGCGCUACUUCCGGUCUGCUACUUCCGCCCGGUCCCUUAUUUCUCCGACAGCAACUUGGAGAGGUAUGCAGUGAAAGGUAUCCAGUUAAUCUGUCACAAAUUUCUUUUACACGCAUUUGUACUUCAAGCAUCACACUGAACACAACCUAUCACCUUGCAUUCCUAUAAUCUUACAUUCCCAGUAAUAAGCUUUUAUAAACAUUUCUGAUAUAUUGGAGCAUUCUCUAAAAUAACUGGGCACUGUCAAUUGUUGUUGAGAUCUGGAAAGAUCUUACAGUUCAGUGUCAGUACAAUACCAUUUUAUUUUUGUGUUGAAAACCACCAUUGCAUCUUUGAACACUGCAAGGCUUUAACAAACUGUCCAGCAGCUAAACCCCAUUGAUUGACAUGUAUUUGCCCUCUUCUUACUGCAAUUAGUUGCAGCAUUUUAUUUUUAUUUAUCUAUUUAUUUUUAUUGAAGACUGAAGGGAAAGUAAUGGAUUAAAAGCUGUGAUGAAUAGAAAAGUUAAUCCCUGAUUGUUUUCAUCCAGUCUACAGCUGUCUGCAAGUAAAUGAGCACAGAAGGUUUAGAAAGCAUUUGCUAUACGGCUUUUACUAUGGCUUCUAUAGGAUGGAGAUACAAAAAACCAGCAAUAAUAUAUAUAGGAAUCUUGAAGGUCUCUUUAAAUACAGCUAUGCACAUAUUAAAUAUGCUGCGAACUGAGAAUCCUUUGACUUGGAUAACCUAUUUUUAAAUCUUUUUAUUUUGUUUUGCCUUGGCUCUUUGUGGUGAGAUGAAUUAUCAGAUGGAUUAAAUGACAUGGGUUGUUCUUCCUCAAGUGAACAAGGUUUGUUUUAUCAUUUACCUUCUCCUUCAGCAGCUCUGAAGAUAGAAACAAGAGGGGUUUUAUUUUUAAAUAUGAAACACAUUGAGGUGGUGAUGUGUGAGUUUGGGGUAGUUGAUUAGCAGACUAACUAAUACUUGGAUACUGUUGCUAGGCUUCAAGUCAGAGUUCUUGUAUUCCUCUAUAAUUAUGCAGAGAUGUGUAUAUGUGAUGGUUUGUGGGUGUUUUCAAGCAUAUAUUUUUUGUAAUUUAAUUUUUUUCUGUGUGUGUAGAAACCAAAUGGCUGCUGAGCUUAUUCUGUAUGUUGUGUGCUUUUGGUAUGGCAUUUGCUUUGGAAUAAAGAAAAGCAUGUUGGUUUUCCAGAAAUCAGGACAGUCGACAUGCUGCAUAAAAUGAAAAAUGCAUUUUGUUUAUAUUUUGAACAAAUAGGAAAUGAUGUCGUUUAUGUCUGUUUGCUUUUCAAGCAGUUAUUCUGAAACUGGUGUGAUUGAGGUCAAUAUUGUUGAUUCCUGAGCAAGAAUUUAAAUUAACUGCCAUCUGGUUUAAUUCUACCAUUUAUUUCUGGCUUUUAAAAAAGAACUGUUCAGCAUUGAGGUUUUUUCUUUAAUAAAUCAGAUUCUUGCAGAGUGUUUUAUAUAUUUCAGUAUAAAAAGCAAUCAGGUUUAAGCAAACAAAAACCACAAACACUAUAGGAACAUUAAAUAAAAAGGGAAUAUAAAUCCCUGACACAGUGAGCAGCAUGUGUGAGUGGCUCUAUUUUUAUCUUGCCUUGCUUAAUAGAACUAAAAAGGGGAGCAAGAACAAGCAUGUAUUGUAGCCAUGUUCAUUCACCAUUUCAGUUAUGAGUAAUCUUAACCUUUGUUCAUAUUCUACAAAGAAUUUCUCAUGUAAAGUGCAUUUUUAAAAUAAUACUAACCAGAAUAAUAGUCCUGAAAUCUUCAUGGUUUUAUGUUUAGUGCAAGAUGUUAUGAAUCUAAAAAGUUGUCAGUUUUGUCAUAUGUGGUUCUUUAAGGAUACUCUUUUCCAACUUCUAUUUUGAGCCCAGGAAUACCUACCCCCCCCCAAAGUAACAUCCAUAGGCAAGCACCACUUCAAUAUUUAAAAUCAGUUCUAUGUAUUUCAAUAGAGUACACUAAUGUUUCCAGUUACGCAUCAAUAUAAUUAUAAAUGCCAUGCAAUUUAUUUAGCAUGUCAAAACAUACAUGUUAGGUAGCCAAGCUGGAAAUUAGAUAUUUGUUCUUAUUUUGCAUAGUAACAUUCAGGAUUUGAGAAAGGUGCCAAAGUUCUUCUGCGUUGUUCAUAAAACAAAUACCGAGCUCUCCAUGUCCUGUAUCAUUUAUGCUUUGUUUAUUAUAUUUUGAUCCUUCCCCUCUUUUGAGCAGCUCAGGGUGGUGUUCAUGCUCCUCUCACAUUUUAUCUUCCCAAAAUAAUCCUUUGAGGUAGGUUAGUAACUGUGAGAGACUGAUCCAAAACCAUCCAGUACGGAGGGAUUUUAAAGUGGGUCUUUCUGGUCUGUCACCAAACCUUUCUGACUAUCCUGUUUUACAACAAUUCAUCUCUAUGAAUUAAGUCUUUACCUUUUUGGCACUUGAGGCAAACCACAAAAUGCCCCCUACUUUGGCCAGAGAAGACGGGGUGACUGAAGAUUUAUAUCAGGAACAAGGGCAGGGGAGUCAAAUCAAUCUUACCUGACAGUUGAAGUGGGACUCAAAAGAUAAUUGCAGAAGGGAAAGGGGCCCAUUCUGAAUCAUGCUGGGCGGGGCAGGAGGAGACCACCAGGGCCCCCUAUUUACUGAGAGGCUGCAGUAGAGACAGCAUUGGGGGAGCACUGCCGAGGAGGUAGCAGAUCCAGCUUCAAGGAGUAUGCCACAAACAUUGCUGCUACCGUGGCAGUGGCUGCAGCAGCCAGUGAUGGCCUCCUUGAAGGCUUGAUCUGCUGCCCCUGUGGAUCCUCCCACCCAAGGUGGUUGCCUCACCUUAUCUCAGGGGUGGGCUGGCCCUGAGUUUUUAGAUGCAGCCAUGGGCACUGCAGCUUCCACACUUGUUACCUCUGGCCUUUCUCUCCCCACAGAACCCUGUCAAGGGGAGGGAUGGUCCAUUCCUUUGGUCAUGGGAGAGUUGGCAGGCUUAGGGUUACAGUCAAAUAAGAUGUGACAUGAUAACUCCAUCAAGUUUAAACGUGGGCUUAAUUUAUUGAGUGGCGUCCAAUUUUUAAAUCAACAGGUGUGCACAGUUGAGGAAGAGCAGGUCCAUAAUUUUGAGAUCCUCCAGGAUCCCCUGCUGUCUUCUGAGGCAUAGGUAGCCUCAGUCAUGUGGAGUAACCUCAUGAUUAAAUUAUUGUAAUGUGGGGCUAACUUUGAAGACUUUUCAGGAACUACAGCUAGUGGCAGAAUAUGACUGCCUUAUUGCUGACAAGCUCAAUGCAAGCUGAUCAUAUAACACCGAUCCUGGCACAGCUACGCUGGUGGCCUAUACAUUUCCAAGCUCAUUCAACAUGCUGGUAUUGACCUAUAAAGCUCUGUACAACUCAUAACCACAAUAUCUUUUCAAGCAUCUCUCCUGCUGUAAACCUACCUGGGCAUUUUGGUCUUAAUCUGAGAUUCUCCCCUGAGGAACGUCAACAAGGAGGAAGGCAUUUUCAGCUAAGGUUCCUCCAUGGUGGAAUGCUUUCCCUUGGGAGGCUUGCCUAGCAUCAUCAUUAACAUCAUUUUUGGUGCCAGGUAAAAUCUACAGUAUGAUUGCUUCUUAAGCACAUUUAACUUGUACACUUCCACCUAUAUUUGAAAUCUGACUGGUUGAAAUUCUGCAAUUUAUAUGUGGCAGUGUCAUGCAGAGAGAGCCUUUGCUUGAGAAGCAAGGCAAGACCGUUUAAAAACUCUCUGCACCAGAUUUUCCCAGCACAAAAAGAGCUAUUAAGCUCUAUCUUGCUUUCUGAGCAAGGUUCUCUUUUCUUGCUUGGCCUGGAAUGCUCCUGUGAGAUAUUUGAGGAACUUGCGUGUUCCCGUGAGAUCUUGUGAGAACAUUCUGUGGUUUAUGGAGGUGGCAUACUGGUUCCGGAAGCCCUGGGAUGCCCCCGGGGAUUGCUUCCAAAGGUUUGAGUACACAUGGAACCAUUAGAAGCAAACCCUGUGUAAGAUACGGUCAUACUGUAUUUGAUGGAUUAUAUAAACUGUUCUCUUGUUUAUUAAUGAAACGUUUUCUGCAGCUUACAUUUUCUUCCGUCUUCUGGGUUUGUUUUGUAGGUUUUCUAAUGGUUUUAUUGUAAGGCAUUGUCUGGUUUUAUGCAAUGCCUUUGGCUUUUAUUUUCUGGGUAAGUUGUGUAGAGACUUUUAAAAAUAUAUUUAAAUGACUAACAGUUUAAAUAAAUAAUGUUGUGGUCUCCCCCAUUGUAUCUCCUUGCAGCUUCUCUGUCCAGACACUCUUCCCAGUAAGAGUUACUGGAAGUAAUGUAUUGUGCUCUAUAGACCCUUUUAUCUCUCCACCUUAUGCAGACCAUAUCUCAGGAUCUGCUCUUAACUUGCUGGUUUCACCAACAUUUUCUAAUUGCAGUGGUACCUCAACAUCCGAAUGACUCGACUUCCGAAGGUUUCGACUUCUGAAGUCGGCAAACCUGGAAGUUUUGUCGCUGUGCGCUCUGCGCAUGUGCAGAAGCACAACAUCGUGCUUCGCGCAUGCACAGAACAGGGGCUUCGACAACCGGAGACUUCAACUUACGAAGACAGCCGUGGAACGGAUCGUCUUCGUAAGUCGAGGUACCACUGUAGAUCAUCAGCAAGUCAGUCUUGUAGAUGGCUGCAUUACUUUCUCAAUGUAGAGCUUUGGCCAAAAUUGAAUAAGGGUUUUGAGAAGCAUACUUUUUCUUAGUGCCUUUGUUAGAUUCGGUUGUUGUUACUUCUUACUAUAUAUGUGCCUUAGAUUAAUCAUAGAAUAAUAUAGUGCUGAAGCUGCCACACACACACACACACACACACACACACACACACACACACACACACACACUACUGGAAAUAAUUGAGCAAGAGGGAUUUCUGGACCCCCUCCCCCCAUAACUUAUCUCCUUACUCCUUUUGCCCUGCAAAAUUUUGUAGGUGACAACUCAGUUUAGCCCUUACAGCAAUAAUAAUAUGUGUCACAAGGCACGAAAGGCAAGGAGAUAACUUGUGUAUCUCUAAGCGAAACUAUGAAAAAGACGAAACUCGGGAAUAUAAAGGACAAAUAAAAAAGCAAGGUCUUUUGGAAUGAAAAGUGUAGUAGCAAUCUGAAUAACUUUUUCUCUGUUGUGGCUGUGAAAUUGUUUCAAUGUCAGCUUGUAUGGGGAAAAACUUUAUUCUGUAUGAUUGCAAAUUAUUAUAAAAGAGAAAGAUAUAGAAGGAACAGGAAAGAGAGUGAACAACCAAUGCAGUAAGCUAAAUAGGAAAUCAUAUGUGAAUGUGAUGUUUGUUCAAGGUAUAAAAUUAUUACUUUCAUAAGAAAUGAGUUUUCAAUACAGAUUUAUUAUGUAGUCUAGGUGUGUGUUGAAUGUUAAAAAGGUUUCUGCUGGGCACACAGUCCAUCACUGGGAAGUGUUUAAACAAAGAAACACCCCACGAAUAGGUUUUUAAAGAAAUCUUUCAGUUGCAAUUGAAUAGCUAAGGCUUCUGGCUGCUUACUAAGAGAAAACAUCAACCCCUUUUAAAAGGCCCAUCAAGUCUCACAGUGAAAUUUAAGAUGGCAAGGAGUAAAGGUCUGCUGUGAGGCACCAGUUAUUUUUAUACUUUGUGAUGGUCCACUGACUCCAGAGAGCACAGGAUUAGUAACAAAGGAAUUUCUGGACUUCAGCUAUUUGAGGACAUUGGGGGUUUGUGCAGUUCUGAAGUUUUAAUUAUUCCCUGCAAUAAUUUGUUAUGAAAAUGGCAGUGAUAACUUCAUAGGAAGUAAGUUCCCCCUCCCCUACUUUUGUUUCCAAUAAAAAUGGACUUUACACAAAAACAAGGUGGGGAUAGAUUUGCAAUGAAGGGAAUGGGGAUGAAUCAAGAGAGACAAAAGUAUGUUAGGAAGAACAAUAAUAUGAAUUAACAGGGAUGCGGGUGGCGCUAUGGUCUAAACCACUGAGCCUAGGGCUUGCCGAUCAGAAGGUCGGCGGUUUGAAUCCCCAUGACGGGGUGAGCUCCCAUUGUUCGGCCCCUGCUCCUGCCAACCUAGCAGUUCGAAAGCACGUCAAAGUGCAAGUAGAUAAAUAGGUACCACUACAGUGGGAAGAUAAACAGCGUUUCUGUGUGCUGCUCUGGUUCGCCAGAAGCGGAUUAAUCAUGCUGGCCACAUGACCCGGAAAAACGUCUGCUCCCUCGGCCUAUAGAGCAAGAUGAGCGCCACAACCACAGAGUCGUCCACGACUGGACCUAAUGGUCAUGGGUACCUUUACCUUUAUCUUUACUAUGGGAGAGUGCUCUUGUGCUCAGGUCCUUCUUUCAAGCUUCCCAUAGACAUAUCGUUGGCCACUGUAAGAACAGGAUGCUGGACUAGAUGGGACUUUGGCCUGAUCCAGUAGAAUGCUUACGUUGUUCUCGUAUAUUUUCAGUGUACCUUUUCAGUGACUCAUAGUAUUUUUAUUGGCCCAUCUUUGAAGCACUACAUUGACACAGGCCCUUAAAAUAAUAAUAAUUUAUUAUUAUUUAUUCAUUUUAUACACUGCUCUAUACCCGGAGGUCUCAGGGCGGUUCACAAACAAGACCGCAACAUAUAAAAUAAAACCAAAAACAAUAAUCCGAUUCCCCCCCCCCAAAAAAAGAGCCGCAUUCUAAAAGGGUGUUGGAUGGCAAUAAGAUCAACCAAGGGCUUGGUUAAAAAGGAACAUUUUUGCCUGGUGCCUAAAGGUGUAUAAUGAAGGUGCCAGGCGAACUUCCCUGGGGAGAGCAAUCCAUAGACAGAGAGCCACUGCAGAGAAGGCCCGUUCUCAUGUUGCCGCCCUCCGGACCUUUCAAGGAGGCGGCACAUGAAGGAGGGCCUUGGAAGAUGAUCUCAGGGUCUGGGUAGGUUCAUAUGGGAAGAGGCGGUCCUUGAGGUAUUGUGGUCCUUCCUUCCUUCCUGCCUGCUGGCCUGCCUGCCUACCUGCUUUCCGUCUUCCUUUUGUCAAAAGACCACAGGGCUGGUUACAGCAUAGAACACCAAUGUCAACGCCAUACCAUUCUAUCUAUACAACGUAAAAAAAUCAAAGCAAUUAUAUCAAUACAGGUUAUAAUAAUAAAUGCAUAAUAAAAUAUCAUAGUGGUGAUAUAAAAUAUCACAUGGUGGAGGGGUUUGAUGGUCAUGGUUUUCUAAUCCCAAACAUGUAAUCAUCAAUUUGCUGAGCACUGGUGAGAGGAUGAGCGCUGAGACUGUAUAUAACAGUGCAUUUGCUUUAAAGUGAGAUAUGGCAUUUCAAGAACUGUACAUUUCCAAUACAGGCCAUGGGCAUCGUUUAGAGGAGAUGUCAAUACAUGAGACAUUCUAGGCCAAGUGCAACCUAAGGCAGCAGGCAGCUGACCCACUGAACACCCGAGAACAUGCAUAUAAUCUUUCCCUGUUUCAGAAGCCAUAGCCUCUAUGCCAUCAUGAAUCCUGUUUUGUAAAAAGAAGUGAAUUGGGAAAAUUUUGCAGGUGGCUAUCCGCUGCAUCACUUUCUACUGCAAACCCAGAAGUGAUUGGGAAGAUGAAAAUAGCUGCUAGAACAAUAUUCACAUCAGCAGCAGUGUUUCUCCAUGCCCUGUUGGAAUAGGAUUCACAAGCAAGCUGCUGGUCACAAGAAAGAAAUGACAAGAAAAGAAAGAUAUAGUGUAGUGGUACAAAGAGCGAGGCAUGUGAUUCCGUUGUAAUUACAGUGUUGAAAAAACUUCACAUACAAUGCAUUAUCCCAUUUCAGUCCUUACAGUUAAGUUAGAACUCUUAUUGAAGGGUCUUCUACAAUUAAUAAUAACAAUAACAAUAUCCCUUUAAGGCCAGUCAGCAUUAUUACCCACAAACUGCAGGUUGAGGAGCUGAGGCUCUGGGGGGAGGAGGGAGUGCUUUGCCUGUGCCUACCUAGUGAGAUAAUGGAAGAAGUGUGAUUUGAACCAGAGGUUUCCUAAUCUGCAGCUCACUGUCUUUCAUGCUAAAUUGCAUCAACACAGAGGAGGAGACCACUGAGGUGCUGGUUUUACAAAUCCUUGUCAUUCCAAUAUAGAUGAUGGUUAGCUCAAAUAGGUUCCGUUUUCCAGUGGGAACAUAAAACAUUCAACCAGAAUUAGCCCCCUUCAUGUGUUCUGUGCCCAAAGAGAGCUCUCCCAAAGAAUGCUUCUGACACUGAUCUUGCUGCCAUCUCCAGACUGCUCCUGAUGUCCACAUGUUGAGCUUAGACAUCUGGAAAAUCAUGCAGAGCUACGUGGAUGUGGUUACCCCUCUUCAGAUGACAUUGUACAAUACAUUUUUGCCAAAGAGUACAAGCUUGCUUCCAUUUCACCCCCCCUCCUCUGGGAUCACCUUGGCUCAAAAGGCUCCAUUUUGAGAUGGAAGUGUCCCGCCCUCUACCCACUGUCCUGGGAACUGCUGGAAGGACCAAUGCUUAAUCUUACUCCACUUCCUACCGUAGUACAAUCAGGACAAGACUGGGAGCGGAUUCACCUUGUGUGUCCUGUCGGCAAAGACACCCACUUGCAUAAUGGGGCUCCCCUCCCUCACAUACAACCCAAAAUUGACUUGGGGGGGGUGUCAGAUAAGCCCCUAGAAGAGUGCACAUUUGGAGGAGAUGGGGAAUUGUUUUGUUUUGCAAGCUGAAAUGCUUGCAACGACAGAAUGUUCAAAAAAGUGCAGCAUUGAAUUCAUGACUAUAUCACUUAUCCAUUGGCUAUUGAGAGCCCCUGAAUUUUUGUGUGACCGCUCAGGUCGUACUGUAACACCCCCACCUAGGGUGAAACACAUCCCUUUGUCAUGUUGAAAAAGAUCACCAUUGUCUCUUUUGUUCACCUGGAAAUCACCCUUCCAAGGACACCCCAGUCUUCUUGUGCUUGGCUUUUAAGACUAACUGAUUUUAGAUCCUCAAAAUCAGGGUGAUUUCAAGAGUAGCCCUGCUUGUAGCAUUCCUGGCUAGCUUUUGAAAUGCCUUUAUUAGGCUGCCCAUCUCUGCACCGCCUGCUGCAGCAACUGUUGUCCAGGAAAGGCUUGCUGCAGUAGAGGAAAGCCUGUUCUUUCCACCUCCUUGGAGAUACCCUGAUACUAAGGACACUUGCUUCCCUUUAAUGAAGGAGAGGUUUAACUCUCCCUCUUACCAACUUUCCAGCCUCUUAUAGUUCAGCUGUCCUUCAUCGGAGUGUUGCGCCUCCCUUCUUGACAGUUGAGGGUUAGUGUGACAGCCAUUCUGCCCAAUUCUUAGACAGUGUGGACUUCAGCUGAGUUGCUCCUUCGGAGGGUUGAGGAGAACUCUAGAGUGACUUUUGGAGGCCCCCCUUUUCACCGGCUUUAUAGUGUCUACUUUGUCAUUUUAAUUGGCUGAUCUGUUUUUUUUUUUUGUCAUAGCUGGCAGCAAGUACAGACAGGUGGCAUCAGGUUGAUCAAGUUGCAAUUGCAGGCACCUGGCAACAUCUCUCUCUGUGUUAGUCACUGACGUCCCUCAUUGCCAGAUAGUUCAGGAUGUAGAGAUGACAGCCCCUUUGGUGCUACACGGCCGUGUACAUGUCAUACAUUUAAAGUGCACCCCCCCAAAAGCAUCCUGGGAACUGUAGUUUGUUAAGCAUGCUGGAAACUUUAGCUCUGUGAGGGGUAAACUAUGGUCCCCAGGAUUCUGGGGUUUGUGUGUGCUUUAAAUGUUUGCAGCCCUGAGGCCAGGGGUGUCAAGUCUCUGAGGAUGUGUGUUCGUGUGUGUGGGGGAGGGGUUCCUACUCGCACUUUGUGCAUGUUUUGCUGACUGUUGCAGAUCCUGGUUUGAGCCUUGACACCCCUGGCCUCAUUCCUUGCUCUCUCAUCCAUUGUAAUCUGCUGCAAGAGACAUAACUGGGGUUCCUCUUCCGUGAAAAAGGAUUCCCUCAGUGUUUGCCAGGCCUUCCUGUUCGACUUGGCUUUUAUUUUUAUGCUCUCAUUGUUUAACUUGUGCUUUAUUGGAUUUGUAAUUAUGUUUUAUAAUGCUGGGUAAUCCACUUUGGAUUGUACAAUAAAUAAAUAAACGACUGGCACCAGAAUGCAUUUCUGACAAACUCUGUAAAGUUACAUUUAAAUAGCAUAUUUUGGAAGAAAAUGCAAGUAGCGAAAAGACAUAUUUCAUAUUCUUGUUCUUAGUAACUUUUGUUUUCUAGUGCUCUCUCUUGGGACAGAGAACUGUGCUUUCUCCUGUAGUGAAGGAAGCGGGUCCUGUGUGAGUUUUCACUGCGCACCUCUCCAAUGGUAGGAAGUCAAACUUUUGUGAGGGUGUACUUGGUGAGCAGGACCACCCCAUUGCCAGCUCAACUUCCUGCCAGCCCCACUGCAGGUUGCUCUUGCCGGCAGCUCUAGGCAUGGCAAAAGAGGAAAAAAAGGGAAAACCCUCUCCCUUCCCAGGGCUGCCAGCUCGGAGAAUGGAGGCAUGUCAGGCUGCAGUUGUGCAGGAAGACCAAGCGGUCCCUUGGGUGGUGGUUUUCCAGGGCUGUAGAGAGGGAGCACUCAUUCAGGGAGCAGCUACGAGUGCCGAUAACCACGAACACGAGCCUCUCGGGUUGGGGAGCCCACACAGAAAAUCAGUAUGCCCAAGGGAUCUGGUCCAUGGUGGAAGCCAGUCAACCCAUAAAUUGGUUGGAUCUCAGAGUGGUCAGACUGGCUUUCCUCCACUUGGAGAGACUGGUGGAGGGCAAGCAUGUGAUGAUCUGUUCCGACAACAUUGCUACCAAGGCAUAAAGAUUUAUCUUAUCUUAUAUAUAUGCAAGGAGUACAUGCUUCAUUACAGGGGCCAUUAGGGCCUCUUGGGACUGGGCCCCAGGGAACAGAGUGGUAUAUCCCACUGUGGGACUGCUGAGUUCUUUUCUCCUAACAAGUUGUGUCUCUUUUCCUCCCUGUUCUGUUAUUUAAAGGGACCCCUGACCAUUUGGUCCAGUUGUGACCGACUCUGGGGUUGUGGCGCUCAUCUCGCGUUAUUGGCCGAGGGAGCCGGCGUACAGCUUCCAGGUCAUGUGGCCAGCAUGACAAAGCUGCUUCUGGCGAACCAGAGCAGCACACGGAAACGUCGUUUACCUUCCUGCUUGGAGCAGUACGUAUUUAUCUACUUGCACUUUGACGUGCUUUCGAACUGCUAGGUUGGCAGCAGCUGGGACCAAGGAACGGGAGCUCACCCCGUCGCGGGGAUUCAAACCACCGACCUUCUGAUCGGCAACCCCUAGGCUCUGUGGUUUAACCCACAGCGCCACCUGUGUCCCUCACGUUCUGUUGUUUAUUUUUGGGCUAUUCAGUUACUCGCUUAAGCACAAAUUGAACCAGUGAGGGGGUUGCCCUGCUCACCAGGUAUACUCUCUCAAAAGUUUGACUUCUGGCCAGUGGAGAGGUGGGCAGUGAUAAGCCACACAAGAUUCCCUUCCUACAGAGAAGGAACAUACCACAUUCACAUCUGUGAUAUAUUAAAAUUGUACAUUCUUUUGGGUGGUUCUUUUAUUGAUACAAAUCUGAAAAGGAAUAGAUCUAUAUGGCUAAAGUUUAUAAUUGAUUGAGAGACUGGCUCUGCCUUCUGUCUUUUAAGUGUUUAUAAUUAAAACUUGGGUUUUAAAAUUCUUCUUAAACGUGCAAUAUUACGGCAUUUGUCAGUGCAUAUUAUUUACCAACUUUCUCUAAUACUAUUCUGACAUCUUAUUCUGUGAACGUUGGUGACAGAUGGUUUGGCCACACUUUUAACAUAAGUAAUGGCAUUGUGCCACUAGCUAUUAAUUAACAUUUGAACCUGAAAUACAAAGUAAAAGUAGCAUGAAAAUAAGUGCGUUAAAGGGAAUAAGUAAGUAAGUUAUAGAGAAUACUGUACACUCUAACUUGCUGAUUUGCAUCUUUAGUGUACAGGAAGGAUACUAUAAGACUUCACUAAUUCUUAAAUUAUCAAUUUGAGUGAAUGUUUUGUCUCAAAGCAAGAUAAGUACUAUUUUAGCAUUGUAAAGUAAAACUGCUGUGUGUUCGAAUCUGCCUUCAGAACUUCCUUUAUUUAACAUACCAUGAUAUCAUCACCAAAAGACUGGCCAUGAUCCAGAGGGAAUGAGGUGUGUACUGUGCAUCUGAUUUUGGAGGAGGUGACUAGAUACAUGCACCAAAAUCAUUUCCCUUUAGAAAUGUCCAAACUUCUAAUUAUUAAAACAAAAUGGUUAUAUAGGGAUAUUUUGGGGGCGGGGGGCGGGGGAGGAAUCUUUCCUGUUGAACAGAGUUUUACAUAUCACUAUUUCUGUGUUAGGCACAGCAGUUGCUAUGGUAAUGGUUCUUUGAAAUACGUUGUGCAACAAUAACUUGCAUUGACCACCUCCUUAUAUAUUAAGAGCAUUCAAGGAUGAUUCUGCUGGGUUUUUUCUUUCUUUUAGGGUUUCUGUCUCUCAUUAAAAACCCUUAAUACUGUGCAGCAUAUAACUGAGGGUCUGGUUUUUUCAGCCCCUUGCCCCUUGCGUAGAAUUGCCAGGGGCCAUAUGUUUAAUGUGUUUUUCUUGUAUCAUAUCCUUCCUGUUAUCAAAGCUUGGAGCCAGUAAAUAUAACCCAAGUUAUCCACCAUUCAGAUACUGCCUAAGCCUGCUUAGCAUCACAAAUGGAACUACAUCUUGGUGAGCUGAUAUAGCAGGUGGCUGAUAAAGUGAAAUGGUUCAUAUGUCACCUCAACAUCAAACUCAAUGGUGGUUUUAGCUAAUCUGUUACUCUCUUGUGCUCAGCCCAGUUUUACCUGACCAUUAUAGAGAUUACUAAGAUAACAUAUGUGAAGCACCUGGAAGACAUGGAAUGCAUGGUAUCUGAAAUAGCUUGUUAUUUAUUUAUUCCUUUGGACCAAGUUAUCCUGAAUAGAGAAGCACACUGCUAUAGGAGAAGCUCUUUAAAGCCAAAGAGUUAGAGUUUGGAGUAAAAGGGUGCUACAGCUUUAAAGUACAAGGUCUGGCACUCAAACUGGGAAAACUUAGCAUGUAUUCUCAAUUAAUGUAUAGCAAUUGACUGGCUGAAUGAUGUUAAUAAAUUCCAGUAAUAUGUCACAACCCUGCUAAUGAAGCUAAAUAACCUUUUUGUUGUAGUAUUUCAAAUCCCUUUCUAGUUUCUCUUGAUGUGUUUAGCUUUGAUCUUCAGAACUCUCCCGCUAAGAAACAAAUUUAUAUUACAUGAAGUAUGCUCAGGUGUCUAUAUUCCUUGUCACCUUACACGGCUUCAUUUUCUGACUUCAAAUUUCUCCUCAGAACCCACCUAUUGCACGAUUCCUUUCGCUUAACCACUUAGUCGUUUCCAGCUACAGUCAAGUUUUAAGUGCAGUAUGUCAAUGUACUGAACUGCAUUUUAACUGCAUCUUUGUUCACAUCCAACCAUUAUUACCCUUGUAGUUCCCUCUCCCUCCUGUUUAUUUGUCAAAUUUCUAUGCUGCAACUUAGUCAAAAAGGUAAGCAUGAUAGCUCACAACAUCUAAAAGAAUGCAUUGUGGGAUUUUGAUUUUUGCCUGCCUGACAAGGGACCAAAAAACCAGUCAAAAUUAUUGAUUCAGCACUAUCUAAAGAUCACCUGUUCUUCUGUUCUCAGAAUUUCAUUUGUGUAGCAUUUUCUAUUGAGUUACAGCCUUUGAAUGGAAAGUAUAUAGCUCUAUAAUAUUCUGCAUUUAUUAGAAUGUGCCAAUUGCCUUGAGAACAGAUUAGUUUUCUGAGAAUUUAUUUUUCCUGUCAGAAACUGUCAUGACAAUUUUUGAAUGAGAAAUUUAAACCCACAUGGGUAUCUAAGCUUGAUUCCUCUAGCAAAGAUAAAGAUAUUCAGGAACAUAUAGCAAAGAAGAAGACAUUCAUUCAUAAAUGAAUAGGCCCUAUUUGGGCACAUAAAAGCUUCAACAGAGAGAGACUGUGCAUGCUAGGCCUGCCCUUGGGGUGUUUCCCAACAUGAAAUGAUUCUGCUUCAUACCUUGAUGCAUUUAGCCCAAGGUUCUGAAGGGGGCUUUUAUUGCAUGUCCGUAUGUUGAAGCCUUCUUGCAACUGGAAACAUCAUGGAUGGCACUGGGUUCCUGAUCACUGGGAACUAUUUAAUUGUGUUUAACCAAAUGUAUUUUGUACUGAUUGCAUUAAGUUCUGAGGAGGAGACCGACCACCACCACACACGGACAUUGGGGCUGAGCUUGCAUGCAUGCCCCCCCCCCACUUCCUGCUCAGUUCCUUGUGUGUCAAGUCAAAUGCCUGAACAGGGCUAUUGACAAAACAGAAAAUAGUAAUUUGGAUAUAUAUUUUUAUUGAUUUUCCAAUAUUGUUCCAAUAGCAGCCUCAUUAUAACAAUACCAAUUUUAUCCAAUUAAUACAAUUAUUAAUGCCAGUUAUUCAAAUGCUAUUAUCUCAGAGUUUCCAAAAGUCACUGCAUCACUUUGUACCUUGAUUUCGCUUCCAGUAAACAAGCUGUCUUCACCAUUUUUCCAGCCUAGGAAGAACAGUCUGAAUCUAGAUUGCAGAUAGCCAAUCCAAAAACUUCUAUUCCUGCAGCUGGUAGAUCCUUUCCCUCCCUGCCGCUGCUUUAUGGCCAAUUAUCCUUAUUUCAACCACAUUUCUUUGCGGAUAACGGAGGUUAGGGAGGAUUUUGCUCUAUGUUUUCAAAGCAUAGUGUCCCCCCCCCACUCCCUCUCAGUUCCUUUCUCUCACACACGCAAUUCCAAUUUUGUUGCAUUCCAUAUUAUAUCCCAUUUUCUUCCAUCCUCACUUGUGCAGAUUUUUUUUUUAAUAAACCUUGCAUUCUGGGGAAGGUUGCUGUAUCAUAAAUGUAGGGAAAAACUUUAAAUAAGAAAAUCAUGGACUUCCCUACCCCCCAUUAUCUCUUUUAUCGAAUGAAAUCUGCUCUCAGUCCAAAUCUUUUACAUCCUUGUAGCUGGAUUGUUUCUUAUCUCUUUGUCUCUGGCACGUGCCUGUAGUUUACUCCAAUUAGUCCAAUUAUCAGGUUAACCUUUGUUUCCAGGAAUGGGAUCAGGGCGGGGGAAUGGCAGCCGGAGUGCUCUGUGCACCCAGUGCCUUUGCCUGCCCUCACAUUCCAUGGGGAAGCGAGUGCCAGACUGCCAGGCAAACUGUGAGUGAGAGCCUGGUUCCUCUUCCAACUGAAGAGGAAUGUAGAUAAUGAAUUUCCUCCAUCAUUAUCUGAUCAUCUCUGUCUGUCUCUCUCCUGUGGUGUUGGGAGAGACUCCAUUCCUGGCGCACCAGAAACAGGAAGCCCCCCCCCUUUUUUAAAGAUAUAUUUUUUAUUAAUCUUCCAAUAUCUAGCAAAGAGUAAUUGGGAGCAGAUGAAGGCAGCAACAAUAUCAAGCACCAGAGGGUUUUUCUUUUGCAGGGAUGGGUAGACUGGAUGUCAUAACCUGACUCAUUUUGAUAGUUCAGUUCUGUACACUGGUGUGCCAUUCAAGAAAGAUGGAGAUACUGCCAAUUCAUUAAAGAAUUACAGUGUUAGUUACUGGAUUGGCUGCUGAUUUCUAACAUUAGCUUAUAACAAAUUCAAAUAUUGCAAGUCUUAUUUGUUAUCUGGGUGUAGGGUGGGAAUCAAAAAUUUUGAGAACACCACUUGCAGACACGGAAGCAGAUAUUUUCUAAGCUCACAUCUUAAAGCAGGGUUAGACUAGGACACAUCAUGCAGCAUUAUCUAACAUUACACAAUGCACCCAUCAAAUUGCAUCACCGUUGAAACAAACAUUGUUCUCAAUUGGCCUUCCCCUUAUUCGGCAAUAGCUAAGUAAAUGCAAUUGUUGCAAUUGCACAUGACAGUAAGAAGAGGCUGACUAUCCAUUCCCAGAUCAAAGUAGUAUAAAGUUGCUAUCAGUUCUAAAUUCCUUGCUUCAUAUUUCUGGUUCUUUCUCUAGAACAUGUAUAAAACAUCUCAAUCUGUUGACUGAACUUCUUAGUAUUUUUCUGAAGGCUGAAUUGUGUACAGAUUAAUUUAACUCCACCCUUUCUUGAGCUUUCAAUGCAUGAAACUGAAAUAACUGUGCAAGAUAAUAAGGGACUAUAAUGGCAUAUGGGAACUAAUUACUCUGUACAGCCAUACCUUGGGUUACAGCUGCAGGUUGUGUCUUUUCAGGUUGUGCUCCGCGCCAAACCCGAAAGUACCAGAAUGGGUUACUUCCAGGUUUCGGCAUGCACCCAUGCGCAGAAGCACCAAAUCAGGCUUUGCGCAUGCGCAGAAGACCGAAUCACAACCCACACAUGUGUGGGUUGCGAACGCUGUGGGUUGCGAAUGUGCCUCCCGCAUGGAUCACGUUCGCAACCCGAGCAUCCACUGUAUUAAAUUUUUUAAUAUGGUGACCCAUCAUUUUUCUAUGUCUGCUCUAAUGCGUUUGAUGCUCUAAUCCAGGCCUACAGAAUUUAUGACUAACCGUGCUAAUCACACUCCAUCAAUCACACAUUUUGGCUAGUUGAUUGCUUGGCAGUCCCCCUGUUUCGAAUCCAGGCAGGCAUUUACUGAACACCUGAUCGCUACAUGGCUGGAUGAUUGCAUUUGACUUGAUGUGUGUGUGUCAUGAGUUUUUCACACCUACCCUAACCCUGUUGCUUCACUGAUGAGAUGAAUGGGAGAUAUAUCCACUAGAUGAAAGUUAAAACAUGACACCACUAAGUCUAAACUAAGAAGGUUUAAUUGAAAUCUACCCAAGGGUUUGGAGGGGGAGAGAAGCAAAUAGUAGAUGUUCAUAGAUUGUCGUGGAAGAUAAAGACCACUACCAGCAUUUUCAAAGAUAGGCUUUGGUUGGCCAGGUGGGAAAAGGGCUUGGGCUCCUGCACCUUUAACAGCUGUGGUGAAGAAUGAAUUUCAGCAAGUGCCGUUUGUCAUAUUUAGUUAACAGGUGCAGCUGUCGACUUUUGCAUCUGGCUACCCUAGGCAGGGAAAAGAAAACCAAGGCUGAGAAUAAUUAAGGGCAGAAGAAACUCAGAAGGAGUAGGGUUAAAGAAGGAGAAAAAGCAGGAGAAGGAAAGGUAGGUUCAAAUAUAGAACAUAGGCAUGCCUAGCCACAGAACUCUACUCAAGCUGUUGGCUGGGCUCCUGGGAAACUGAGGUCUGAAAUCAGUGCAGACAAAUUAGUCCCAGCUGAGCCAGCAGGGUGGGACUGGAACAUGAUUCCUAAAACAGAUACCAUGUGAUGAUAAAAAUUAUAGGCUGCCAUUCACACUUAAUUUGAUUUCAGUGGAUUGAGUCUCCUUAAAUAGAACAACUCUUUUUAAAAUGUUUGAUGCAUCAGGUUGAUUAGGAAUAGUAAGCAAUAGCUGCUUAAGAAAAGGCUGCUAUAUAAUAUGUUAAUUGACAUGAUUGAUGGUCCUGCAUCAUUUUAUUGCUUAUCCAGUACAUUUGCUGUUAUUUUCUGUGCUGCUUUUAUCUGUUUGCCAUAUUGUGUGCAUUACCUUGAGAAAUAUAUGUGGAAGGUAAUACAGUAUUAUCAUUCAGUAACCCAAUCCUUGGGUAAAAUUUGCACUUCUGGUUUUGCUUUGGUAGAUGUGAUCAAACCUCACACUGAGCCACCUUAAAAAAAAAAAAAGAACGACAAGAGGCUUAUUUAAAUAAACAAACUAGCAUUUUGAGCAUAGAU